Molecule: non-coding RNA, 94 nt
Organism: Mycena latifolia
Lineage: Eukaryota; Fungi; Basidiomycota; Agaricomycetes; Agaricales; Mycenaceae
Source: the annotation of a GenBank genome assembly
CGUCCGAUGGCACAAGGAGUGCAUCUGCUAGAAUUAAGAGUUAUCGUAUUUAGCUUCUACAGAAAGCUCCCCCGUUCGAUUCGGGGUCGGGCGA